RNAcentral lists this long non-coding RNA (519 nucleotides) under Physcomitrium patens. RNAcentral's name for it is "long non-coding RNA (PPAT_LNC003412)". The record is from RNAcentral. Lineage: Eukaryota; Viridiplantae; Streptophyta; Bryopsida; Funariales; Funariaceae.
GAUAAUAGUCAAAGGGUAGAAAAAUUAAAGGUGCUAAUGCUGCCUUUUUACAAAUUAUGCUUCUAUUUACUUUGUAAGGCCAUAAAUAAGAAAAAACAAGGUAGAUCAAAAAAAUAAAGGAUAUAGGCAUAUGUAGGGAGGAGUUAAGAGUGCAAAUUAGUGAAAAUUACCUCAAGAAGACGAAAGUUGAUACCCGAAGAGGACCGGUUAUGAACCUAGGUCGAAAUCAGAUCCUGAGGCACAAAACUGCGCUCUGAUGGCGAUUCAAGGGUUCUUUGGAAGAUCGAAGAGCCGAAUUAGAGAGAAGACUUGUGAGAGGAUUUUUGAGAGGUGAUUUCGUGUCAUUUGGAUUAGUAUUGGAUUUUUUUAGGGAUUUUCAAAGCGAGUGAUGUUCUCUGUGAAUUCAGAUCUUUGAGAAAUAAAACCGGUUUACAAAUUUUUGAAUUUCGUUUCUUUUGUAGCACUUUUACGGGUGAAAAUUUAGAGACUUAUUGGUAUGCUUGUUUUGAAUGUGUAUAA